Molecule: transfer RNA, 76 nt
Filed under: Asticcacaulis sp. AC466
Lineage: Bacteria; Pseudomonadati; Pseudomonadota; Alphaproteobacteria; Caulobacterales; Caulobacteraceae
Also listed under: 1 other name
Description: tRNA-His
Rfam family: tRNA
About the family: Transfer RNA (tRNA) molecules are approximately 80 nucleotides in length. Their secondary structure includes four short double-helical elements and three loops (D, anti-codon, and T loops).
Source: RNAcentral
GCCGCCUUAGCUCACUUGGUAGAGCGCCAGAUUGUGGCUCUGGAGGUAGCUGGUUCGAAACCAGCAGGCGGUACCA